Molecule: ribosomal RNA, 377 nt
Filed under: uncultured Chloroflexota bacterium
Lineage: Bacteria; Bacillati; Chloroflexota
Description: bacterial SSU rRNA
Rfam family: Bacterial small subunit ribosomal RNA
Source: RNAcentral
UAAUACGUAGGUUGCAAGCGUUGUCCGGAAUUACUGGGCGUAAAGGGCCUGUAGGCGGCAUGGUAAGUCCGUAGUGAAAUCUCCCGGCUUAACUGGGAGCGGUCUAUGGAUACUGCCAAGCUAGAGAUCAUCAGAGGAGAGCGGAAUUCCCGGUGUAGUGGUGAAAUGCGUAGAUAUCGGGAGGAACACCAGUGGCGAAAGCGGCUCUCUGGGGUGGUUCUGACGCUGAGGGGCGAAAGCGUGGGGAGCAAACCGGAUUAGAUACCCGGGUAGUCCACGCCCUAAACGAUGAAUGCUAAGUCUCCGGGGUAUCCACCCCCUGUGGGCUGCAGUUAACGCGUUAAGCAUUCCGCCUGGGGACUACGGCCGCAAGGCUA